Molecule: ribosomal RNA, 546 nt
Filed under: Macrotermes subhyalinus (Mendi termite)
Lineage: Eukaryota; Metazoa; Arthropoda; Insecta; Blattodea; Termitidae
Description: partial 16S ribosomal RNA
Rfam family: Bacterial large subunit ribosomal RNA
Source: RNAcentral
ACAAAAACAUCUUUUCUUGUUAGUUUUUGAAGUAUGGUCUGCCCGCUGACUUUAGGUUGAAGGGCCGCGGUAUUUUGACCGUGCAAAGGUAGCAUAAUCAUUAGUUCUUUAAUUGUGAUCUGGUAUGAAUGGCUUGACGAGGCAUGGUCUGUCUUGGAUGGGAGAUGUGUUUAAUUGAAUUUGGUUUUUGAGUUAAAAUUCUUAAAUGUUUUUAUGGGACGAGAAGACCCUAUAGAGUUUAACAUUCGGUGUUUAGCUUGGUUUGUGUUUGUUUUUUGUUGAUGCUUUGUUUCGUUUGUUUUGUUGGGGUGAUGGGAGGAAUUUUCUUAACUCCUCUUUGUUUUUGGUAUAUUUAUUUGUAUAUGUUUUGAUCCAUUUAUUUUGAUUAUAAGAUUAAAUUACCUUAGGGAUAACAGCGUUAUCCUCCUUGAGAGUUCUUAUUGGCGGGAGGGUUUGCGACCUCGAUGUUGGAUUAAGAUUAAUUUUUGGUGUAGGAGCUGAAUUGAUUGGGUCUGUUCGACCUUUAAAAUCUUACGUGAUCUGAGU